Molecule: ribosomal RNA, 292 nt
Filed under: uncultured bacterium
Lineage: Bacteria
Description: partial 16S ribosomal RNA
Rfam family: Bacterial small subunit ribosomal RNA
Source: RNAcentral
GUGUCAGCAGCCGCGGUAAUACGUAGGUGACAAGCGUUAUCCGGAAUUACUGGGCGUAAAGCGCACGCAGGCGGCUGCGUAAGUCUGACGUGAAAUCUCUCGGCUUAACCGGGAGCGGUCGUUGGAAACUAUGCGGCUUGAGGCGAUGAGAGGGGUGUGGAAUUCCCGGUGUAGUGGUGGAAUGCGUAGAUAUCGGGAGGAACAUCAGUGGCGAAAGCGGCACCCUGGCAUUAGCCUGACGCUCAGGUGCGAAAGCGUGGGGAGCGAACGGGAUUAGAUACCCUUGUAGUCC